Lontra canadensis (Northern American river otter) is the source of this 251-nucleotide long non-coding RNA. RefSeq lists it as uncharacterized. Lineage: Eukaryota; Metazoa; Chordata; Mammalia; Carnivora; Mustelidae. The transcript is spliced from 3 exons. The record is from RefSeq and is a predicted model, not a curated record.
CAAGGAGAGGAGUCUCCUCUGAAAUCAAAACUCACCUAACAAAAAAGAAACUUGACAUUUUACUUCAUGGAACAAAUAUCAUGUAGAAAGCAUUAGCUAUUAGCCUUUCUCAAGUUGCACUCAAGACUUAAAGACCAUCUGAGCUCUUGUCAAGAACAUAAAAAUUUAAGAGAUGCAGCAGAGCUCAUGUACCUUCUCAGAUUGCCUUGCAGGUGGAGCUGGCCCCCAAGUCUCUGUUCUGGCAAAUGAAA